This 459-nucleotide ribosomal RNA is filed under the name uncultured bacterium. Its description in RNAcentral is "partial 16S ribosomal RNA". It matches the Rfam family "Bacterial small subunit ribosomal RNA", at positions 338 to 795 of the family's 1533-position model. The record is from RNAcentral.
CCUACGGGAGGCAGCAGUGAGGAAUAUUGGUCAAUGGGCGGGAGCCUGAACCAGCCAAGCCGCGUGAAGGAAGAAGGCGCCAGGCGUCGUAAACUUCUUUUGUCGGGGAACAAAGGGCGCCACGCGUGGCGUUGUGAGUGUACCCGAAGAAAAAGCAUCGGCUAAGUCCGUGCCAGCACCCGCGGUAUUACGGGGGUUGCGAGCGUUAUCCGGAUUUAUUGGGGUUAAAGGGAGCGGAGGCGGUCCGGAAAGUCAGCGGGAAAAGCCCGGGGCUCAACCCCGGCGAGCCGUUGAAACUGUCGGACUAGAGACGGCGAGAGGUACGCGGAAUGCGCGGUGUAGCGGUGAAAUGCAUAGAUAUCGCGCAGAACUCCGAUUGCGAAGGCAGCGUACCGGCGCCGGACUGACGCUGAGGCACGAAAGCGUGGGUAUCGAACAGGAUUAGAUACCCCUGUAGUC